GUGUCAACUGGAAAUCCAUACUGCUGAAUUUGAUAUUUAAUGCUAUGUAUUAGAAGUGCUUUCUGAAGCUGUAAACAAAAUGCAGUGGGAAAAUACAAUUGCUCUGUUUCCAUUAUCAAGAUUUUUCUGAGGAAUUUUUCAAGAACAAGUAACAUUGAAGAUAACAUCAGAAGAGCCUUUGUGCCUUUUUUUAAAACAUUAGGAUUCCUCAUGGAUGCCUGAACAAAAGAAGUAAAGCAUUUAAAAG
Molecule: long non-coding RNA, 247 nt
Filed under: Cyanistes caeruleus (blue tit)
Lineage: Eukaryota; Metazoa; Chordata; Aves; Passeriformes; Paridae
Description: lncRNA (ENSCCEG00000004571.1)
Source: RNAcentral